The sequence is a transfer RNA, 72 nucleotides long. It matches the Rfam family "tRNA". From Rfam's summary of the family: Transfer RNA (tRNA) molecules are approximately 80 nucleotides in length. Their secondary structure includes four short double-helical elements and three loops (D, anti-codon, and T loops).
GCCCCGGUAGCUCAGCGGUAGAGCAACCGGCUGUUAACCGGGAGGUCGUGGGUUCAAAUCCCACCCGGGGCG